Molecule: long non-coding RNA, 593 nt
Filed under: Hordeum vulgare
Lineage: Eukaryota; Viridiplantae; Streptophyta; Magnoliopsida; Poales; Poaceae
Description: long non-coding RNA (HVUL_LNC003254)
Source: RNAcentral
ACAACGCCACGAUCAGUGGACGUGGGCGGGCGCGCAACCAGCCACGGCUUAUCGCUGCUGCUCUCGCCUGCUAUAAAUACUCUCAUCACCUAGCGCACAGGGAGGUUGGAUCCAUUUUUUGCACUCGCUGCCAGCAUUCAUUCAUCUCCUGCUACUGCUAGUCACAAUACGCGCAUACGAACACACAAGAAAAAGAAGCAGGGAGGCCAGCGAUCGACUUACCGAGGUGAGAAGGUGAGAUAUGAUGAUGGUCUCAUCCCCUUAGUUUUGGCCGCUUGGUUCGGAUCAAGGAGCUCUCUCUUCUCACAUAUGAAAUAUUGUUUUUAGUUUCGGUCGUUUGGUUCGGAUCAAGGAGUUUUUUUUUCUCACAUAUGAAAUAUUGUCCUUAGUUUCGGCCGCUUGGUUCGGAUCAAGGAACUCUCUCUUCUCACAUAUGAAAUAUUGUCCUUAGUUUCGGCCGCUUGGUUCGGAUCAAGAGUUCUUUCUUCUCACAUAUGAAAUAUUGUCCUUAGUUUCGGCCGCUUGGUUCGGAUCAAGGAACUCUCUCUUCUCAUAUAUGAAAUCAUGUCCUUAGGUUCGGCCGCUUGGUUCGG